RNAcentral lists this long non-coding RNA (1380 nucleotides) under Salmo salar (Atlantic salmon). RNAcentral describes it as "lncRNA (ENSSSAG00000096412.1)". Lineage: Eukaryota; Metazoa; Chordata; Actinopteri; Salmoniformes; Salmonidae. The record is from RNAcentral.
ACAGAAACUAAAACAGGAAGUACCGGUGCUAAGGUCCAUUCAGCACAAGUCUGACCAUUCGGAAUACAUGCUUCAAGACUGUUUUGAUCACGCGGACUGGGAUAUGUUCCGGGUUGCCUCGGAUAAUAACAUUGAUGUAUACACGGACACGGUGGCUGAGUUUAAAAGGAAGUGUAUAGGGGAUGUUGUUCCCACUGUGACUAUUAAAACCUACUCAAACCAGAAACCGUGGAUAGAUGGCAGCAUUUGUGCUAAACUGGAAGCGCGAAGCACCGCAUUUAACCAUGGCAAGGUGACUGGGAAUAUGGUUGAAUACAAACAGUGUAGUUAUUCCCUCCGUAAGGCAAUCAAACAGGCAAAACGUCAGUACAGAGACAAAGUGGAGUCGCAAUUCAACGGCUCAGACACAAGACGUAUCUGGCAGGGUCCACAGACAAUCACAGAUUACAAAGGGAACACCAGCCACGUCGCGGACACCGAUGUCUUGCUCCCAGACAAGCUAAACACCUUCUUUGCCCGCUUUGAGGAUAACACAGUGCCAUCGACACAGUCCGCUUCCAAGAACAGUGGGCUCCCCUUCGCCGUGGCUGACUCUGCUGUCCCCACUUGCUUCAAGAUGUCCACCAUUGUUCCUGUACACAAGAAAGCGAAGAUGAUGCAAUUGAACUGCAUGCUGCUGUAUCUCACCUGGACAAGAGGAAUACCUACAGUUGAAGUUGGAAGUUUACUAAGGUACCAAAAGGGGGUUGGCAUCAAUCAGAGAGGAGCUGUCAGUGGUGCAGAAGUUCCAGUCCUACACCCAAGAUGCCGACCAGAACUACGACUUUGCCAGCAACAGUGUCGUCCAGCAUCUUGAGCCCGGCGAUGAGAUCUACAUCAAGCUGGACCGGGGAUAAGGCAAGAAGUACAGCACCUUCUCCGGCUUCAUAGUCUACGCCGAUGAACAGAUCAUCUAUUUUACGCUAGGCUAUUCACUUCAUCUGCUAUAUUCUCUCGUUUAGAUUGGUUAACCCGCUGUCGUUUAGAAGACAGGUGGUUAAAGAGAAACUGGGGGACCUUGACACAGAAGUGAACCUUUAAAUUUACACUAUAAUGGAUGUUUAGUUUUACGAGUAAAAAUCUCCAAAUGAUGCAAUGUCCAAUAAAGAAAGUUGAACACGUGGAAACAAGGAAGGUGAUGAGUGAAUGUUUCAUGUGUAUAAGCCAAUAUUAAUGCAGGUUAAACAGGAAUGGUGUUAAUGCUUCAUUGCUGUUCAUGGCUUUUGUCAUUGGGUCAACUAAUCAAUUCAUUUCAAUUGGUCUUGUAAGGCAUCUCAGUUCAUGUUAGUCUAUAGAAUAUGGGAAUAAUACUCAGAGGUGAUUAAAACUCUACUGUAUGAA